Molecule: transfer RNA, 73 nt
Filed under: Planctomycetota bacterium
Lineage: Bacteria; Pseudomonadati; Planctomycetota
Description: tRNA-Thr
Rfam family: tRNA
About the family: Transfer RNA (tRNA) molecules are approximately 80 nucleotides in length. Their secondary structure includes four short double-helical elements and three loops (D, anti-codon, and T loops).
Source: RNAcentral
GCCGGUGUAGCUCAGUUGGUAGAGCAGCUGUUUUGUAAACAGCAUGUCGGGGGUUCGAGUCCCUUCACCGGCU